UACAGAGGUCUCAAGCGUUGUUCGGAUUCAUUGGGCGUAAAGGGUGCGUAGGCGGCGCGGUAAGUCGGGUGUGAAAGUCAAGGGCUCAACCCUUGAAAGCCGGUUGAUACUGUCGGGCUAGAGUCCGGAAGAGGCGAGUGGAAUUCCCGGUGUAGCGGUGAAAUGCGCAGAUAUCGGGAGGAACACCAAUGGCGAAGGCAGCUCGCUGGGACGGUACUGACGCUGAGGCGCGAAAGCGUGGGGAGCAAACAGG
RNAcentral lists this ribosomal RNA (253 nucleotides) under uncultured bacterium. Its description in RNAcentral is "partial 16S ribosomal RNA". It matches the Rfam family "Bacterial small subunit ribosomal RNA", at positions 524 to 776 of the family's 1533-position model. The record is from RNAcentral.